RNAcentral lists this transfer RNA (73 nucleotides) under Pseudochaenichthys georgianus (South Georgia icefish). Its description in RNAcentral is "tRNA-Asn". The record is from RNAcentral. Lineage: Eukaryota; Metazoa; Chordata; Actinopteri; Perciformes; Channichthyidae.
UAGACGGAUGCUCGCUGGUUCGGGUGUUUAGCUGUUAACUAAAAGUUUGUAGGAUCGAAGCCUACCCGUCUAG